UACGUGGGGUGCUAGCGUUGUUCGGAAUUACUGGGCGUAAAGCGCGCGUAGGCGGUCCGUUAAGUCCGGGGUGAAAGGUUCAGCGCUCAACGCGAACAGUGCCCUGGAGACUGGGGGACUUGAGUGUGGCAGGGGGUGGCGGAAUUCCUGGUGUAGCGGUGAAAUGCGUAGAUAUCGGGAGGAACACCUGUGGCGAAAGCGGCGCACUGGACCACUACUGACGCUGAGGCGCGAAAGCUAGGGGAGCAAACAGG
RNAcentral lists this ribosomal RNA (254 nucleotides) under uncultured prokaryote. RNAcentral describes it as "partial 16S ribosomal RNA". It matches the Rfam family "Bacterial small subunit ribosomal RNA", at positions 524 to 776 of the family's 1533-position model. The record is from RNAcentral.